This 437-nucleotide ribosomal RNA is filed under the name uncultured bacterium. Its description in RNAcentral is "partial 16S ribosomal RNA". It matches the Rfam family "Bacterial small subunit ribosomal RNA", at positions 29 to 507 of the family's 1533-position model. The record is from RNAcentral.
AGCGAACGCUGGCGGCAGGCCUAACACAUGCAAGUCGAACGAACUCUUCGGAGUUAGUGGCGGACGGGUGAGUAACACGUGGGAACGUGCCUUUUGGUUCGGAAUAACUCAGGGAAACUUGUGCUAAUACCGAAUGUGCCCUUCGGGGGAAAGAUUUAUCGCCAUUAGAGCGGCCCGCGUCUGAUUAGCUAGUUGGUGAGGUAACGGCUCACCAAGGCGACGAUCGGUAGCUGGUCUGAGAGGGUGACCGGCCACACUGGGACGGAGACACGGCCCAGACUGCUUCCUGCGGGAGGAGGGGGUAGGGAUGCAUACUGAACGGGCGACAGCCGCACCCAGCCCUGGCGCGGGAAGGAGGCAGGUGUUAUGAUUGUAAAAUUCUUUCGCCGGGGACGGUAAGGACGGUACCUGGAGAAGAAGCCCCGGCUAACUUCGUG